GUGCCAGCAGCCGCGGUAAUACGGAGGGUGCGAGCGUUGUUCGGAAUUACUGGGCGUAAAGCGCGCGCAGGCGGGCGUGCAAGUCGGGGGUGAAAUCUCAGGGCUCAACCCUGGGACUGCUUCCGAUACUGCAUGUCUAGGGAUUGGUAGAGGUCGGUGGAAUUCCGGGUGUAGUGGUGGAAUGCGUAGAUAUUUGGAGGAAUAUCUGAGGCGAAGGCGGCCGGCUGGGCCUGGUCUGACGCUGAGGUGCGAAAGCGUGGGGAGCGAACAGGAUUAGAUACCCUGGUAGUCCACGCCGUAAACGAUGGGCACUAGAUGCCGGUGGGAACGACCCCUUCGGUGUCGCAGCUAACGCAUUAAGUGCCCCGCCUGGGGAGUAUGGCCGCAAGGCUGAA
This 395-nucleotide ribosomal RNA is filed under the name uncultured bacterium. RNAcentral describes it as "bacterial SSU rRNA". It matches the Rfam family "Bacterial small subunit ribosomal RNA", at positions 505 to 898 of the family's 1533-position model. The record is from RNAcentral.